This 464-nucleotide ribosomal RNA is filed under the name uncultured bacterium. Its description in RNAcentral is "partial 16S ribosomal RNA". It matches the Rfam family "Bacterial small subunit ribosomal RNA", at positions 28 to 507 of the family's 1533-position model. The record is from RNAcentral.
GACGAACGCUGGCGGCGUGCUUAACACAUGCAAGUCGAACGGAAAGGCCCUGCUUGCCGGGUACUCGAGUGGCGAACGGGUGAGUAACACGUGGGUGAUCUGCCCUGCACUUCGGGAUAAGCCUGGGAAACUGGGUCUAAUACCGGAUAGGAGCCAUUUUUAGUGUGAUGGUUGGAAAGUUUUUUCGGUGUAGGAUGAGCUCGCGGCCUAUCAGCUUGUUGGUGGGGUAAUGGCCUACCAAGGCGGCGACGGGGAGCCGGCCUGAGGGGGUGGCCGGCCACAUUGGGACUGAGAUACGGCCCAGACUCCUACGGGAGGCAGCAGUGGGGAAUAUUGCACAAUGGCGCAAGCCUGAUGCAGCGACGCCGCGUGGGGGAUGACGGCCUUCGGGUUGUAAACUCCUUUCGCUAGGGACGAAGCUUUUUGUGACGGUACCUAGAUAAGAAGCACCGGCUAACUACGUG